Molecule: long non-coding RNA, 662 nt
Filed under: Ceratitis capitata (Mediterranean fruit fly)
Lineage: Eukaryota; Metazoa; Arthropoda; Insecta; Diptera; Tephritidae
Description: uncharacterized LOC105664775, transcript variant X2
Source: RNAcentral
UUCAAUUCAAAUAUUUCUCAACUUUGGUUGUGACAACAACAUUAAGUACAACGCGAAAAUCACACAAACUCAUACAUAUACGUAUGUAGUACGUGACAGUUGUUUUUAUUUACGGGCAAAUCUGAAUCACAACUGAUUGUGCUGAAAAGAAAUUUACCUGAACUUGCCGGAACUGGAACAUUUGAUUUUACGCAUACUUUUUGGAAUUGUGAGGGAACAAAUUCUUGCCAACAACACCAACUCAUCAAAAAAAACAAAAAACUCAGCGCUGAGCCCCACAGAUACCAAUUAAUAUAGUCGUUGUUGCAAUGGAAUGCAACCAGGUGGCAAAUGCCAGCACGCACACGCGUCGCACCGUUCAUGGACAAUGGCACCGUGGUGAAUGUGCUAAUAAAAAUUUCAUUGUGUAAUCAAAAUCAAAAUGCCAAAGCUUAACGCUGCUUUAAGCAACCCACAAAAUGUCACAACUGGACAAAGUAAUGUAUACGGUGACGGCUGCCAGGUGCAUUGCAAUGCUUCAAUGAAUAAUGCAAAACUCGCAAUUCUCAUAUUUUUGUUGCAUACUUUUGGGUUGAGUGUAUGUGUGUGUGUGUGGAAAAUAGUGCGUUGGUUUCACUGUGAUACAUGCGGCAUGAAAUAUUUCUGCUGAGAGGAAAAAAAUU